AUAUUGGACAAUGGGCGAAAGCCUGAUCCAGCCAUGCCGCGUGAGUGAUGAAGGCCCUAGGGUUGUAAAGCUCUUUCAGCGGGGAAGAUAAUGACGGUACCCGCAGAAGAAGCCCCGGCUAACUUCGUGCCAGCAGCCGCGGUAAUACGAAGGGGGCUAGCGUUGCUCGGAAUCACUGGGCGUAAAGCGCACGUAGGCGGAUCGUUAAGUCAGGGGUGAAAGCCCGGAGCUCAACUCCGGAACUGCCCUUGAUACUGGCGAUCUUGAGUUCGGGAGAGGUGAGUGGAACUGCGAGUGUAGAGGUGAAAUUCGUAGAUAUUCGCAAGAACACCAGUGGCGAAGGCGGCUCACUGGCCCGAUACUGACGCUGAGGUGCGAAAGCGUGGGGAGCAAACAGG
Molecule: ribosomal RNA, 398 nt
Filed under: uncultured bacterium
Lineage: Bacteria
Description: bacterial SSU rRNA
Rfam family: Bacterial small subunit ribosomal RNA
Source: RNAcentral